This 474-nucleotide ribosomal RNA is filed under the name uncultured bacterium. RNAcentral describes it as "SSU rRNA". It matches the Rfam family "Bacterial small subunit ribosomal RNA", at positions 26 to 518 of the family's 1533-position model. The record is from RNAcentral.
AGGACGAACGCUGGCGGCGUGCUUAACACAUGCAAGUCGAGCGGAAAGGCCCUUCGGGGUACUCGAGCGGCGAACGGGUGAGUAACACGUGAGCAACCUGCCCUUAGCUCUGGGAUAGCUCCCGGAAACGGGAAUUAAUACCGGAUAUGACCCUGACCGACAUCUGUCAGGGUGGAAAGGUUUACCGGCUGAGGAUGGACUCGCGGCCUAUCAGCUAGUUGGUGGGUAACGGCCUACCAAGGCGACGACGGGUAGCCGGCCUGAGAGGGCGACCGGCCACACUGGGACUGAGACACGGCCCAGACUCCUACGGGAGGCAGCAGUGGGGAAUAUUGCGCAAUGGGCGAAAGCCUGACGCAGCGACGCCGCGUGGGGGAUGAAGGCCUUCGGGUUGUAAACCCCUUUCAGCAGGGACGAAGCGAAAGUGACGGUACCUGCAGAAGAAGCGCCGGCUAACUACGUGCCAGCAGCCGC